Molecule: long non-coding RNA, 2537 nt
Organism: Anthonomus grandis grandis
Lineage: Eukaryota; Metazoa; Arthropoda; Insecta; Coleoptera; Curculionidae
Exons: 3
Source: RefSeq, a predicted model, not a curated record
AAGAAGUUCUUUCGAACUUUAAAACCCUAAAAUCAUUGGUAAUUUUUGAAAAACAAACUUUAAACUGUUUCAUAAUUAUUAGAUUAAAGUCAUAGGAACAUAAAAGUAACCUUAAAACCACAAAUAAUAAACAAACGCGGAUUAAACACUGCUUUGCAGAUUCUGGCGCAUGGCGCAUCACCGCCAGCGGCGCGACGAUGGAAUUUAAUAAAUUCAUGCCUAUUUGAAGGUCGCAUGUUGAAAUCAAUACGUGUUUGUAAAUCAAUAUUGCGCUACAUUUCUGUGCUGAUUUCACGACCGCACGGUGUUGAAAUGAACACGGAAACGCUUAGAACAUUGAAUAUAUAACGGUUUCGUCUCCGUAAAUAGGUUCAGUGUAGUACCCUUAUCUACAUGCUUACGACCAUACAUAUUUAAAGCAAAAAUAUCAGAAUUCCUCGUCCCGCGUCCCAUGAGCAAUCCGCUAGAUUCAGUCUUUAUUUGUGUGCGAUACGAUUCACUUGUUGAAAAAUAAAAAAUGCCAAACAAAACGCGUAAGAGAUGUCGAUCUCGUUCCCGCUCGGAAGAAAGUGGCGGGAAAAAUUUAUCUCUACUUAAACGCAUGGAUAAAAGAAAAUAAGAAUACCCCUAAAAAGAUAGUAUUACGGGUACUAACAAGUUCAAAUGAGGAUAGUGACAAUAGUGAGGUAGAUAAUUAUUCGGUUAGUUCGUGAAGUGAGAUAAAAAGUAGGAACGAGAAAAAUGUAGAGGAUACAGAUAAAUAAAAUUUAAACAAUACUUGGUUACGGGAAAUUUGUUUCCAAAUUAUUCAACCAACAUAAAGAUAAUAUAGACAUGUUAAUGGGAUACGGUGGUGGUUACUCUAGUUCAACAUGUCGGUAGAGUACGGUGGUGAUUACUCUAUCUUGGUGUAGGAUAUAAAAUUGGUGAAUUAUAUCCGAUUGUCAUUUGAUGUAUUAAAGUAUAUUGUUGGUGAAUAUGCUUUAACAUUUCGAAUGAAAUUAAUAAAUAAAUAUUAAACGCCUACAUAAUAAUAGGUAAAUUACCAAGAUACGUUUUAUAACAGGGUUGACCCUUAAUAAUGAUGAAGAGGAUCCAACGGUAUUAAGCCAACAGGAUGCUGAAACUUCAAAGUCUUUAGAUGAAGGUUUAUUAGAUAUUUCGGGAAACGAUAUGAAUAAUGAAAGUUCUUAUGGUCAACCCAUUCAGCCAGAGAUUGUAAAGAGAUGGUUACAUAUUUCUGGAAAUGGGCUUGAAGAGACUGUUCUUAAAAACGUAAUGGAGAAGUAUCCCCUUCCAGAAAAUGGUACAUGCUUAGGCCCGCCACAAUUAAAUAUUAUGUAAAACAAGUCAUUCAUGAAUCGGUGGAGCGCAGGGAUAAUAAACUGGCAACAAUAUAAUCACGACUGGCUGCCAGUUUGUCCGCUCUUGGUCAGGUUAUGACAAAAAUGUUAGGAAAGAAAGGUUAUUUUGCCUCAAUUGUAAUUAUUGUUCGUUUUGUACUAGAUAGUUUUAAAGGUUAUAAUUAUUAUGUAUUUAACCAAAUUAUUGAAUGUUUUCAAAAAGUGUUAUUAUUAUUAGGUAUGGGUCGUAUCUAAAGUAUUAAUAUAUAAGAAAUAUUUUUUCAAAAAAAACUGGAAUUUUUGCUUUAAAUAUGUGUGGUCGUAAGCAUGUAGAUAAGGGUACUACACUAAACUUAUUUACUUCGACGAGACCUUCAUAUAAUCAAUAUUGAACUUCACUUCAGUGAUAGAUUGUAAGAAAAGAUGGCGCAACAUUAAGGACGCUUAUAUGAAAAGAGAAAAAAAAGAAAAGGGAUCAACUGGAUCUGCUACCAAUAAAUCAAAACCUUGGCCUCUGUCUGAAAGGUUGUUUUUUCUAAAAAAAGUGAAUCAUAAACGACUAAGCGCAUCAAACAUUGAAGAGCAAGAAAGUCAAUAUGAACAAGAAACUGACGGUAAUGAAACUAUAUGCACAACAAUUGAAGAAACAUCUUAUUCACCCCCGGAGUUUGAUGAUGCACUUUUCAUCUCUGAAGCACCAUCUAGAUCUACUUUUUAAGCAUCUGGUUUUACUCUACAAAGGAACACUCCAAGUCACAAUUUACAUUCACAGCCAAGUAAGAAACAAAAAUUCACUGACAAUCUUACUUGAAUGAUGCAAGACUGGCAAAACGACCGAGCCAAAAUUAUAAAUUCAAUAUCUAAAAAAAACGAAGAUCAUGAAAUUGAUGUGUUUUUUAAAAGUAUUGCUAUGUCCGUAAAAAAAUUCAAGAGAGAGCUCCAAAACAAAGCAAAAUUGCAAACCUUAAAAAUGGUUACUGAUUUAAAAGAACGUAACAAAUCUACUACCAGUACGCCUCAAAUAUCACCUUUAGAAUCAAAUUCCAGCAGUAGUUUUAUGCCAACACACAAACAUGCAAAAUUUUUAUGUACGUGCUUUCAAUCAAUAUGAAAAUCUAUGAUGUAUUUUAAUUAGGUACCUACCGAAUAUGAUCAUGAAUAAAUACAUAAUACUUACCGCAAAGUAACAGCUAG